RNAcentral lists this transfer RNA (65 nucleotides) under Dipodomys ordii (Ord's kangaroo rat). It matches the Rfam family "tRNA". From Rfam's summary of the family: Transfer RNA (tRNA) molecules are approximately 80 nucleotides in length. Their secondary structure includes four short double-helical elements and three loops (D, anti-codon, and T loops). Lineage: Eukaryota; Metazoa; Chordata; Mammalia; Rodentia; Heteromyidae. The record is from Rfam by way of RNAcentral.
GGUGGCUCAGUGGUGGAGCUCUUGCCUUGCAUGCAUGAGGCCCUGGGUUCAAUUCCCCAGCACCA